Molecule: long non-coding RNA, 471 nt
Organism: Psammomys obesus (fat sand rat)
Lineage: Eukaryota; Metazoa; Chordata; Mammalia; Rodentia; Muridae
Exons: 2
Source: RefSeq, a predicted model, not a curated record
CCGGGAGCAAGGAUAGGCAGCAUCCUUGCCCCCGGCCCAGGGCGGUCCCUCUGCGCCCUCGCUCAGCCUUCUUUCUCUAGAAGUGGUCUUUUCCUGCUGUGGGUGUCGGGUCCUCUCCACGCUGCACCGGGGCCUCUUGCCUGGCACCUGUUACGCGGACACCUGCUCGCCGGCCUGGAAUGGAAAUGUGUCCUAGAGAACGAACGAGCUGGCUAGGGGCCCAAGUUUACCUGAGAAUUCCAAGCCUACUCAGAACGCUUUGCUCUGCCCAAAGUCAAGUCGAUGUCACAGGCCUGCCCUGCAACCUUGUUGAACUGGACACUUGAACUUCUGAAAGGAAUGCUGUGGAGUUGGGAGCUUUUGAAGCUCCUUGUGGACAAGGGGGGGAAAGUGCAAAUAUAAAUUGGGCAACUGAGGUUGCAUCAUGCCAGGAGAAUGUCAAAUAGAAAGAAAUGUCAGCAAGGCAGCGUC